RNAcentral lists this ribosomal RNA (222 nucleotides) under uncultured bacterium. Its description in RNAcentral is "partial 16S ribosomal RNA". It matches the Rfam family "Bacterial small subunit ribosomal RNA", at positions 109 to 334 of the family's 1533-position model. The record is from RNAcentral.
AGUAAUGCUUGGGAAUCUAGCUUAUGGAGGGGGAUAACUACGGGAAACUGUAGCUAAUACCGCGUAGAAUCGAGAGAUGAAAGUGUGGGACCUUCGGGCCGCAUGCCAUAGGAUGAGCCCAAGUGGGAUUAGGUAGUUGGUGAGGUAAAGGCUCACCAAGCCGACGAUCUCUAGCUGGUCUGAGAGGAUGACCAGCCACACUGGGACUGAGACACGGCCCAG